AGUGAACGCUGGCGGUAGGCCUAACACAUGCAAGUCGAACGGCAGCACAGUAAGAGCUUGCUCUUACGGGUGGCGAGUGGCGGACGGGUGGGGAAUACAUCGGAAUCUACUUUUUCGUGGGGGAUAACGUAGGGAAACUUACGCUAAUACCGCAUACGACCUACGGGUGAAAGCAGGGGAUCUUCGGACCUUGCGCGAUUGAAUGAGCCGAUGUCGGAUUAGCUAGUUGGCGGGGUAAAGGCCCACCAAGGCGACGAUCCGUAGCUGGUCUGAGAGGAUGAUCAGCCACACUGGAACUGAGACACGGUCCAGACUCCUACGGGAGGCAGCAGUGGGGAAUAUUGGACAAUGGGCGCAAGCCUGAUCCAGCCAUACCGCGUGGGUGAAGAAGGCCUUCGGGUUGUAAAGCCCUUUUGUUGGGAAAGAAAAGCAGCAGGUUAAUACCCCGCUGUUCUGACGGUACCAAAAGAAUAAGCACCGGCUAACUUCGUG
Molecule: ribosomal RNA, 492 nt
Filed under: uncultured bacterium
Lineage: Bacteria
Description: partial 16S ribosomal RNA
Rfam family: Bacterial small subunit ribosomal RNA
Source: RNAcentral